This is a non-coding RNA of Pelobates cultripes (western spadefoot toad), 287 nucleotides long. NCBI's taxonomy places the organism in Eukaryota, Metazoa, Chordata, Amphibia, Anura, Pelobatidae. The record is from the annotation of a GenBank genome assembly.
UGUCUUAUCUAAUGUACUUCCUCCAAAAUGUGAUGUCACCAUCAUCUCGGGAUUUUACUCCGGAUGGAGACGCCAUCUUGUUACACAAGGUGUUUGGUCGAUGGGAGGGGGUGCUCUAGCAUCGACCAAACACCUUCAGUAAAUACUGAAUACAGGUAUACAUAGUAAAUAGACAUUUUACCUACAUUAGUUUCUAUCCAUAACAUACAUAAUAAGAAAACCUAUAGAUAAAAGUAUAGGUUACAUAGAAGGACAAAUAAGACAGAUUAAUAAGGUUGCAGAAAAAG